This 73-nucleotide transfer RNA is filed under the name Pseudomonadota bacterium. RNAcentral describes it as "tRNA-Gly". It matches the Rfam family "tRNA". From Rfam's summary of the family: Transfer RNA (tRNA) molecules are approximately 80 nucleotides in length. Their secondary structure includes four short double-helical elements and three loops (D, anti-codon, and T loops). Further hydrogen bonds mediate the characteristic L-shaped molecular structure. tRNAs have two regions of fundamental functional importance: the anti-codon, which is responsible for specific mRNA codon recognition, and the 3' end, to which the tRNAs corresponding amino acid is attached (by aminoacyl-tRNA synthetases). tRNAs cope with the degeneracy of the genetic code in two manners: having more than one tRNA (with a specific anti-codon) for a particular amino acid; and 'wobble' base-pairing, i.e. permitting non-standard base-pairing at the 3rd anti-codon position. Lineage: Bacteria; Pseudomonadati; Pseudomonadota. The record is from RNAcentral. RNAcentral also lists the same sequence under 3 other names.
GCGGGCGUAGCUCAGUUGGUAGAGCGUCAGCCUUCCAAGCUGAAUGUCGCCGGUUCGAGUCCGGUCGCCCGCU